Molecule: ribosomal RNA, 887 nt
Filed under: uncultured organism
Description: bacterial SSU rRNA
Rfam family: Bacterial small subunit ribosomal RNA
Source: RNAcentral
AACGGGCGCUAUACCGCAUAAUGACUCCGGUCCAAAGAUUAUCGCCCAGGGAUCGGCCCGCGUUAGAUUAGAUAGUUGGUGGGGUAACGGCCUACCAAGUCGACGAUCUAUAGGGGGUCUGAGAGGAUGAUCCCCCACACUGGUACUGAGACACGGACCAGACUCCUACGGGAGGCAGCAGUUAGGAAUAUUGCACAAUGGGCGAAAGCCUGAUGCAGCCAUGCCGCGUGAGUGAAGAAGGCCUUAGGGUUGUAAAGCUCUUUCAGAUGUGAGGAUAAUGACCGUAGCAUCAUAAGAAGCCCCGGCUAAAUUCGUGCCAGCAGCCGCGGUAAUACGAAUGGGGCGAGCGUUGUUCGGAAUCACUGGGCGUAAAGCGUGCGUAGGCGGAAUUGAAAGUCAGAAGUGAAAGCCCAGGGCUUAACCCUGGAACUGCUUUUGAAACUUCAAUUCUAGAGUUCUGGAGAGGUAAGGGGAAUUCCGAGUGUAGAGGUGAAAUUCGCAGAUAUUCGGAGGAACACCAGUGGCGUAGGCGCCUUACUGGACAGAUACUGACGCUGAGGUACGAAAGCGUGGGGAGCAAACAGGAUUAGAUACCCUGGUAGUCCACGCCGUAAACGAUGUGUGCUAGUUGUUGGGGCCAUAGGUCUCAGUGACGCAGCUAACGCCAUUAAGCACACCGCCUGGGGAAUACGGUCGCAAGAUUAAGACUCAAAGGAAUUGACGUGGACCCGCACAAGCGGUGGAGCAUGUUGUUUAAUUCGAAGCAACGCGAAGAACCUUACCACCCCUGGACAUCCCGAUCGCGGUUACCAGAGAUGGUUUCCUUCAGCUCGGCUGGAUCGUUGACAGGUGCUGCACGGCUGUCGUCAGCUCGUGUCGUGAGAUGU